Labrus bergylta (ballan wrasse) is the source of this 189-nucleotide non-coding RNA. Lineage: Eukaryota; Metazoa; Chordata; Actinopteri; Labriformes; Labridae. The record is from RefSeq and is a predicted model, not a curated record.
CGAAGGACCCCAUCCAGGAUUGGGAAAGCCUGAUUCCUAGCUGGAAAAAAGGACUGGCUGAGGGAGAAAGAAACCUGACACCAAAGGACUUUGAAAUCCUGGUCAUUGAAAUGGACUAUGGCAUGGACGACAAGGACCCUAUCCAACAUGUUCAUUUCUACAGCAAAUCUGAGCUUGACAAGGCAAAGC